UAAUACAUUUUUAUUAUAUGAUUUACUUAAUGAUUAAAAGUGCUAAACAAUUAAUCUACAACAGUAAAUACAUAUAAUAAAAUCAUCUUAAAUGAGAUAUUAUAUUACGCGUAGCUAAUACGUGAAAUAUAGUCCGAAAAACAAAUUCCCGAGCUCUUUUAAAACCAGGAUAUACGUUUCUACGAAAAAAAAUGGGCAACCAGCCCAAUCAGUCUAUUGCCAGCCGACCGACCACGUUUUUUUCCAGCUAGCCCGACACCCACCCUUUUUUUUAGCCUAUAAGGCCGGCCUGGCCAGCGAAAC
This 303-nucleotide long non-coding RNA is filed under the name Hordeum vulgare. RNAcentral's name for it is "long non-coding RNA (HVUL_LNC015373)". The record is from RNAcentral. Lineage: Eukaryota; Viridiplantae; Streptophyta; Magnoliopsida; Poales; Poaceae.